CUACUGUUAGUACAGAAAUGGAAAGAAGAAGAAGAAGAGAGGAGAAAGAAAGAAGAGAAGAAGAGGAGAUAGAGAGGGAGUUGCUGAUUCUUAGACAACUGCUGGAUACUUCAGUAAAUAGAUGACGAGACUGGUAUUUUGCCUACUGCCAGCUUUUAUCAUGAGACAGUGGCCUUAGAUUACUUGGCCAAUCUUCCAGAGGAUGAAACCGAUCAUGGACCUGACUAUGGAUGUGAUGACUGCACCCAUGGAGGCAAGUUCUUCUGAGGAAUAGAAUAGAUUAUUCCUAUGUCUUUUUGUAUAUAUUUCCACUGAUGCGAACUCUGAUAUAUAUAGUCUACUUCUGAGACACGGUGAACUGUGUAAUUAUUCUUUUUGUAAGGUAUAUGACUUUUAUCUAGAUAACUGUAAAUAUAAUGUAUCACAUAGUGACACUCAAAAUGAUGUAAUAUAUCUCACUGAUGGACUAUUUCUAUUUA
This is a long non-coding RNA of Macadamia integrifolia, 479 nucleotides long. RefSeq lists it as uncharacterized. NCBI's taxonomy places the organism in Eukaryota, Viridiplantae, Streptophyta, Magnoliopsida, Proteales, Proteaceae. The record is from RefSeq and is a predicted model, not a curated record. The transcript has 2 exons.